Molecule: long non-coding RNA, 168 nt
Organism: Xenopus laevis (African clawed frog)
Lineage: Eukaryota; Metazoa; Chordata; Amphibia; Anura; Pipidae
Exons: 3
Source: RefSeq, a predicted model, not a curated record
CCUUCUUCAGACAAACCAUGUCAAAAUUCUUCUUCACAAACAAAACCUGUUGCAACAAAAGGUCAACCUGCAUCUGCAGACAUCGAAGUUUCUCUAAAUUCUUCCAUACAAACCAUGCAAGACCCUUCAUCUGGCACACCCACUUCUUCAAACUUCGAGGAUCAUCAU